UCUGGGUUUGUGUUGAGUGUCAAUGAAUCAGAGUCAUGGGGUAGGAAGCAACUACAAUCUGGUUUUAUAUUUCACAGUCACAUUAAAAAUGAUGGCUGGGGACCUACUGAAAAGCAACAUAUGGUUGAUACAGAAAGCUUCAGAAAAAAUCUUCUUCAAAAUCAACCUUAAGUUUUCACAUGGAAUUUAAAUUUCAUUUUAUUUUAGUGACAAGAUUUUUUGAUGCUUUCCAGCUCUUUCUGUCCAGCUCCCUGCUCCUGACAGCAUCCAGCACCCACACAAAGCAGCCUGUUGAAGCCAUCCUCUGUCUCUGAUCUGGGACAGUCUGUGGGUAUGAUGGUGACCAAGACCUCCUUAACAUGUUCCUGCGGUGCCAACGUCACCAUCAGAAACUCUACCACUGGAGAAAGCAAAUUCUCUUGGGAAGACACACUGAAAAUGCUUCUGCCAUUAAUUUCUGCAUUGCCUGGAGAUUAGCCAUAGCUGGGCUACAAAGCGGAUGGGAACUCUGGUUUGGAAGGUAGGAUCUGAACACACUGAUCCUGCGGAGGAACAGGAACUGAGGCAACUUAAAAGUGAGGAGGAGAGAGACUAUUAUCCCUAUUUCACAGAGAUGCUGGAGGAUGGAUUUACCAAGACUAUCAUUUUCAAAUAUUGGAAAAUAUAUUUAUUCUGUAAAUGUCUUGAACUUUUCAUUUCAGAGAGGUGACAGAGGUCACAAAGGAAGUCAGCUGGAAUUACUCUGAGUCACUUCUUUUGUUUAGUCAACCAUUUUAUUUUUUUUUUUGAAGGAUAAGGCUGUUUGUCCUUUAUAUUUCUUGGCCAAUUAAACUCUGUGAAAAGCCCUUGCAGAAGAGCAGGUGGACAUCUGCCUACCUUUGCAGUUGCUGGGAGAGUUUGGAAGUUCUUGCAGCCAGA
RNAcentral lists this long non-coding RNA (918 nucleotides) under Anser brachyrhynchus (Pink-footed goose). RNAcentral describes it as "lncRNA (ENSABRG00000022561.1)". Lineage: Eukaryota; Metazoa; Chordata; Aves; Anseriformes; Anatidae. The record is from RNAcentral.